AUCAUUUCAUCAAUUCACCGAAAUAAACUCUAAAUUCUCUCAAAACUCUCAAUUUUUCUGAAAACUCCCAUCUCCUCCCAUUCUGCCUUUUUUCUUCUCUCGAUUAAUUUCCAACAAACUUUUUUCAAUGGAGGGCUUAAUCAUCAAGAGUUUGAUUUCAAGAAAUUUUCUUUGCAAACAUUCCCUUGGAUUCGACACCCCUACUUACCACCGAGAUACGGUAAAAAGUAAGGAUAAAUUUGAAAAUACUUUGUUCUGAGGUAAAUCUUGGAAGCGUGUGCUAAACCCACCCCAUUCUCUUCUUUUUUUUUUCUUCUCCUCGCUCUUCAUUUUCAUCUUCUUGUCCUUCCUCCCCUAUCCUCACCUUCUUCUCUUUCAUUAUUCCUAUAAUCUACUUCCUCUAGCACGUUGUUGUCCUAACUAGAAAUCCAAUCGUAUGCCAACAUCGUUCAUGAUGUCCAGAUCUCUUGUUUGUGGAGAAACCUUUGACAAUGUGGAUACCCAUGAAACACUUCUAAAUUUCAAACUAUGCCUACUUGUUCUUUUGGCAUUUGUUUUUAUUUAGAGUGCACUUGAAAUUCUAAUUUUAAUCAACAAACCAAGAUGUUUUCUGCUUUCUAAUGGGUUACCUCCUUCAUUUUGUAUAAGCGUUUAAGGGAAAAAAGGGACAAGAAUGCUUCUAUCGGAAAAACAACCAACUAAAACUUCAUGACAACUUCAGUUCCAUUAUUGAAGAAAAAAACAUGAGAAAAGGAAGAUCUCAAGAAAAUGGUGAAUAUUCAGAUUCUAAUCAUUUGUUGGGCAUAACACGAUAGAGGGUUGAUUGAAAAUUCGAAAUCGGAGGAUGAAGAAGAAAUAAUUGUUAGAUUUUAUAUUCUAAAACUCGUAGUUUGUAAUUUAAAAUCCUAUUCUAUUCAAUUAAAGACUUAUUAGUGAAAA
Cucumis melo (muskmelon) is the source of this 939-nucleotide long non-coding RNA. RefSeq lists it as uncharacterized. The transcript is spliced from 3 exons. NCBI's taxonomy places the organism in Eukaryota, Viridiplantae, Streptophyta, Magnoliopsida, Cucurbitales, Cucurbitaceae. The record is from RefSeq and is a predicted model, not a curated record.